CCUACGGGUGGCAGCAGUGAGGAAUAUUGGUCAAUGGACGAGAGUCUGAACCAGCCAAGUAGCGUGAAGGAUGACUGCCCUAUGGGUUGUAAACUUCUUUUAUAUGGGAAUAAAAUGUUCCACGUGUGCGUUUUUGUAUGUACCAUAUGAAUAAGGAUCGGCUAACUCCGUGCCAACAGCCGCGGUAAUACGGAGGAUCCGAGCGUUAUCCGGAUUUAUUGGGUUUAAAGGGAGCGUGGGUGGAUUGUUAAGUCAGUUGUGAAAGUUUGCGGCUCAACCGUAAAAUUGCAGUUGAAACUGGCAGUCUUGAGUACAGUAGAGGUGGGCGGAAUGCGUGGUGUAGCGGUGAAAUGCUGAGAUAUCACGAAGAACUCCGAUUGCGAAGGCAGCUCACUGGACUGCAACUGACACUGAGGCUCGAAAGUGUGGGUAUCAAACAGGAUUAGAUACCCUUGUAGUC
This 460-nucleotide ribosomal RNA is filed under the name uncultured bacterium. RNAcentral's name for it is "partial 16S ribosomal RNA". It matches the Rfam family "Bacterial small subunit ribosomal RNA", at positions 338 to 795 of the family's 1533-position model. The record is from RNAcentral.